RNAcentral lists this ribosomal RNA (908 nucleotides) under uncultured bacterium. Its description in RNAcentral is "bacterial SSU rRNA". It matches the Rfam family "Bacterial small subunit ribosomal RNA", at positions 8 to 920 of the family's 1533-position model. The record is from RNAcentral.
AGAGUUUGAUCAUGGCUCAGGAUGAACGCUAGCGGGAGGCCUAACACAUGCAAGCCGAGCGGUAGAGAUUCUUCGGAAUCUUGAGAGCGGCGUACGGGUGCGGAACACGUGUGCAACCUACCUUUAUCAGGGGGAUAGCCUUUCGAAAGGAAGAUUAAUACCCCAUAAUAUAUUGAAUGGCAUCAUUUAAUAUUGAAAACUCCGGUGGAUAGAGAUGGGCACGCGCAAGAUUAGAUAGUUGGUAGGGUAACGGCCUACCAAGUCAAUGAUCUUUAGGGGGCCUGAGAGGGUGAUCCCCCACACUGGUACUGAGACACGGACCAGACUCCUACGGGAGGCAGCAGUGAGGAAUAUUGGACAAUGGGUGAGAGCCUGAUCCAGCCAUCCCGCGUGAAGGACGACGGCCCUAUGGGUUGUAAACUUCUUUUGUAUAGGGAUAAACCUACUCUCGUGAGAGUAGCUGAAGGUACUAUACGAAUAAGCACCGGCUAACUCCGUGCCAGCAGCCGCGGUAAUACGGAGGGUGCAAGCGUUAUCCGGAUUUAUUGGGUUUAAAGGGUCCGUAGGCGGAUCUGUAAGUCAGUGGUGAAAUCUCAUAGCUUAACUAUGAAACUGCCAUUGAUACUGCAGGUCUUGAGUAAAGUAGAAGUGGCUGGAAUAAGUAGUGUAGCGGUGAAAUGCAUAGAUAUUACUUAGAACACCAAUUGCGAAGGCAGGUCACUAUGUUUUAACUGACGCUGAUGGACGAAAGCGUGGGGAGCGAACAGGAUUAGAUACCCUGGUAGUCCACGCCGUAAACGAUGCUAACUCGUUUUUGGGUUUUCGGAUUCAGAGACUAAGCGAAAGUGAUAAGUUAGCCACCUGGGGAGUACGUUCGCAAGAAUGAAACUCAAAGAAAUGACGAAGGC